CCUCAGGAUAGCUGGAACUUAUGAAGAAGUAGUUUUAUCAGGUAAAGCGAAUGAUUAGAGGCUUUGGGGAAGAAACUUCCUCGACCUAUUCUCAAACUUUAAAUAGGUAAGAUUUGGAGGAUACUUAAGUGAUCUUUCAAUAUUUUGAAUAUAAAGUUCUUAGUGGGCCAUUUUUGGUAAGCAGAACUGGCGAUGUGGGAUGAACCGAACGUUAAGUUAAAGUGCCAAAUAAUACGCUCAUGAGAUACCAUAAAAGGUGUUGGUUCAUUUUGACAGCAGGACGGUGGCCAUGGAAGUCGGAACCCGCUAAGGAGUGUGUAACAACUCACCUGCCGAAUGAACUAGCCCUGAAAAUGGAUGGCGCUUAAGCGUAUAACUUAUACUUAACCCUUAUCUGAAUCAUCAUAGCGGAUAAGGAGUAGGAGGGCG
This 429-nucleotide ribosomal RNA is filed under the name uncultured eukaryote. RNAcentral's name for it is "eukaryotic LSU rRNA". It matches the Rfam family "Eukaryotic large subunit ribosomal RNA", at positions 971 to 1391 of the family's 3401-position model. The record is from RNAcentral.